CCAUCCCGCGUGAAGGACGACUGCCCUAUGGGUUGUAAACUUCUUUUGUAUCGGGAUAAACCUACCCUCGUGAGGGUAGCUGUAGGUACUAUACGCAUAAGCACCGGCUACCUCCGUGCCAGCAGCCGCGGUAAUACGGAGGGUGCAAGCGUUAUCCGGUUUUCUUGGGUUUAAAUGGUCCGUAGGCGGACUUAUAAGUCAGUGGUGAAAGCCUGUCGCUUAACGAUAGAACUGCCAUUGAUACUGUAAGUCUUGAGUAUAUUUGAGGUAGCUGGAAUAAGUAGUGUAGCGGUGAAAUGCAUAGAUAUUACUUAGAACACCAAUUGCGAAGGCGGGUUACCAAGAUAUAACUGACGCUAAGGGACGAAAGCGUG
Molecule: ribosomal RNA, 374 nt
Filed under: uncultured bacterium
Lineage: Bacteria
Description: bacterial SSU rRNA
Rfam family: Bacterial small subunit ribosomal RNA
Source: RNAcentral